GGGCAGUGAUGACCAAUUUAUACAUACCAUCAAACUAUGAGAGCUAAAUCGAGUUCGUUGAUGCCAUCUAUUUUUGCAGAGCCA
Non-coding RNA from Glycine soja, 84 nucleotides. The record is from Rfam. NCBI's taxonomy places the organism in Eukaryota, Viridiplantae, Streptophyta, Magnoliopsida, Fabales, Fabaceae.